This 819-nucleotide ribosomal RNA is filed under the name Bacillus sp. C088. RNAcentral's name for it is "bacterial SSU rRNA". It matches the Rfam family "Bacterial small subunit ribosomal RNA", at positions 61 to 860 of the family's 1533-position model. The record is from RNAcentral. Lineage: Bacteria; Bacillati; Bacillota; Bacilli; Caryophanales; Bacillaceae.
GUCGAGCGGACAGAAGGGAGCUUGCUCCCGGAAGUCAGCGGCGGACGGGUGAGUAACACGUGGGCAACCUGCCCUUUAGAUUGGGAUAACUUCGGGAAACCGAAGCUAAUACCGAAUAAUACAUAGAAUCUCCUGGUUCAAUGUUGAAAGAUGGCCUUCGUGCUAUCACUAAAGGAUGGGCCCGCGGCGCAUUAGCUAGUUGGUAAGGUAACGGCUUACCAAGGCGACGAUGCGUAGCCGACCUGAGAGGGUGAUCGGCCACACUGGGACUGAGACACGGCCCAGACUCCUACGGGAGGCAGCAGUAGGGAAUCUUCCGCAAUGGACGAAAGUCUGACGGAGCAAUGCCGCGUGAGUGAGGAAGGCCUUCGGGUCGUAAAGCUCUGUUGUGAGGGAAGAACAAGUACCGGAGUAACUACCGGUACCGUGACGGUACCUCACCAGAAAGCCACGGCUAACUACGUGCCAGCAGCCGCGGUAAUACGUAGGUGGCAAGCGUUGUCCGGAAUUAUUGGGCGUAAAGCGCGCGCAGGCGGCUUCUUAAGUCUGAUGUGAAAUCUCGGGGCUCAACCCCGAGCGGCCAUUGGAAACUGGGAAGCUUGAGUACAGAAGAGGAGAGUGGAAUUCCACGUGUAGCGGUGAAAUGCGUAGAUAUGUGGAGGAACACCAGUGGCGAAGGCGACUCUCUGGUCUGUAACUGACGCUGAGGCGCGAAAGCGUGGGGAGCAAACAGGAUUAGAUACCCUGGUAGUCCACGCCGUAAACGAUGAGUGCUAGGUGUUAGGGGUUUCGAUGCCCGUAGUGCCGAAGUAAACACAU